UACGUAGGGGGCGAGCGUUGUCCGAAGUUACUGGGCGUAAAGCGCGCGUAGGCGGUCCUUUAAGUCCGGGGUGAAAGGUUCAGCGCUCAACGUGAACAGUGCCCUGGAGACUGGGGGACUUGAGUGUGGGAGGGGGCAGUGGAAUUCCUGGUGUAGCGGUGAAAUGCGUAGAUAUCGGGAGGAACACCUGUGGCGAAAGCGGCGCACUGGACCACAACUGACGCUGAGGCGCGAAAGCUAGGGGAGCAAACAGG
RNAcentral lists this ribosomal RNA (254 nucleotides) under uncultured bacterium. RNAcentral describes it as "partial 16S ribosomal RNA". It matches the Rfam family "Bacterial small subunit ribosomal RNA", at positions 524 to 776 of the family's 1533-position model. The record is from RNAcentral.